GGUAGUCCACGCCGUAAACGAUGUCGACUUGGAGGUUGUGCCCUUGAGGCGUGGCUUCCGGAGCUAACGCGUUAAGUCGACCGCCUGGGGAGUACGGCCGCAAGGUUAAAACUCAAAUGAAUUGACGGGGGCCCGCACAAGCGGUGGAGCAUGUGGUUUAAUUCGAUGCAACGCGAAGAACCUUACCUACUCUUGACAUCCAGAGAACUUANCAGAGAUGCUUUGGUGCCUUCGGGAACUCUGAGACAGGUGCUGCAUGGCUGUCGUCAGCUCGUGUUGUGAAAUGUUGGGUUAAGUCCCGCAACGAGCGCAACCCUUAUCCUUUGUUGCCAGCGGUUAGGCCGGGAACUCAAAGGAGACUGCCAGUGAUAAACUGGAGGAAGGUGGGGAUGACGUCAAGUCAUCAUGGCCCUUACGAGUAGGGCUACACACGUGCUACAAUGGCGCAUACAAAGAGAAGCGACCUCGCGAGAGCAAGCGGACCUCAUAAAGUGCGUCGUAGUCCGGAUUGGAGUCUGCAACUCGACUCCAUGAAGUCGGAAUCGCUAGUAAUCGUGGAUCAGAAUGCCACGGUGAAUACGUUCCCGGGCCUUGUACACACCGCCCGUCACACCAUGGGAAGUGGGUUGCAAAAGAAGUAGGUAGCUUAACCCUUCGGGAGGGCGCUUACCACUUUGUGAUUCAUGACUGGGGUG
This 695-nucleotide ribosomal RNA is filed under the name Enterobacter bugandensis. RNAcentral describes it as "bacterial SSU rRNA". It matches the Rfam family "Bacterial small subunit ribosomal RNA", at positions 789 to 1482 of the family's 1533-position model. The record is from RNAcentral. Lineage: Bacteria; Pseudomonadati; Pseudomonadota; Gammaproteobacteria; Enterobacterales; Enterobacteriaceae.